This 523-nucleotide long non-coding RNA is filed under the name Marmota monax (woodchuck). The record is from RNAcentral. Lineage: Eukaryota; Metazoa; Chordata; Mammalia; Rodentia; Sciuridae.
UAUUUAUUUAUAUGUAGUGCUGAGGAUCGAACUCAGAGCCUGACACAUGCCAAGCAAGCUCUCUACCUCUAAGCCACAAUUCCAGCCCCUCUAUUGGGUUUUCAUUUUAAGAAUUCUAGUUUGCAAAGAGGUGGCAAAGAAAUGAAAAAAAAAAUUUGACAUAUUAAUUCUGGGUGCCACAUAAUAUAGUCCAGUGAAAAUUCUUCAGAUUUUUAAAAUAGCUUUUCAGUUUCCAUGUUAGAAUUAACACAAGGGAACUUGCAAUCCUCCUGCCUCAGUCUCCUGAGCCACUGGGAUUACAGGCAUGUGCCACCGCACCUGACCCUUCUCUCCUAUUUUACCAGGAAAAAGAAAGUGUGGGUUGGGGAGCACACAUUCUUAACAUUCACUGUUAUCCUAGCCUGGUUCCCCUUAUGUUAAGCUGUACCUAUCUUCAUCAUUUGGUCUCAGCCUGGGUACUUGUGAUACAUAAACUAUUCUCAACAACCUGUUGUCUCUGGUAUUCAAAUGUUGGAUCAGGGGA